UACGGAAGGCAGCAGUGGGGAAUAUUGCACAAUGGGCGCAAGCCUGAUGCAGCCAUGCCGCGUGUAUGAAGAAGGCCUUCGGGUUGUAAAGUACUUUCAGUCGUGAGGAAGGUGUUAAGGUUAAUAACCUUAGCAAUUGACGUUAGCGACAGAGGAAGCACCGGCUAACUCCGUGCCAGCAGCCGCGGUAAUACGGAGGGUGCGAGCGUUAAUCGGAAUUACUGGGCGUAAAGGGCACGCAGGCGGUUAAUUAAGUUGGAUGUGAAAUCCCCGGGCUUAACCUGGGAAUGGCAUUCAAGACUGGUUAGCUAGAGUCUUGUAGAGGGGGUAGAAUUCCAUGUGUAGCGGUGAAAUGCGUAGAGAUGUGGAGGAAUACCGGUGGCGAAGGCGGCCCCUGGGACAAAGACUGACGCUCAUGUGCGAAAGCUGGGGAGCAAACAGGAUUAGAUACC
RNAcentral lists this ribosomal RNA (452 nucleotides) under uncultured bacterium. RNAcentral describes it as "bacterial SSU rRNA". It matches the Rfam family "Bacterial small subunit ribosomal RNA", at positions 340 to 786 of the family's 1533-position model. The record is from RNAcentral.